Molecule: ribosomal RNA, 497 nt
Filed under: uncultured bacterium
Lineage: Bacteria
Description: partial 16S ribosomal RNA
Rfam family: Bacterial small subunit ribosomal RNA
Source: RNAcentral
GAUGAACGCUGGCGGCGUGCCUAAUACAUGCAAGUCGAGCGAACGGACGCGACGCUUGCUUGUUUGACGUUAGCCGCGGACGGGUGAGUAACACGUGGAUCAUCUACCUAUCAGACUGGGAUAACUUCGGGGCACCGGAGCUAAUACCGGAUAAUAUUUUGAACCGCAUGGUUCAAUAGUGAAAGACGGUCUUGCUGUCACUAAUAGAUGCAUCUGCGCUGCAUUAGCUAGUUGGUAAGGUAACGGCUUACCAAGGCAACGAUGCGUAGCCGACCUGAGAGGGUGAUCGGCCACACUGGAGCUGAGACACGGUCCAGACUCCUACGGUAGGCAGCAGUAGGGAAUCUUCCGCAAUGGGCGGAAGCCUUACGGAGCAACGCCGCGUGAGUGAUGAAGGUCUUCGGAUCGUAAAACUCUGUUAUUAGGGAAGAACAGAUGUGUAAGUAACUGUGCACAUCGUGACGGUACCUAAUCAGAAAGCCACGGCUAACUACGUG